CUGGACACAAUGAUACGCAGGUGUGGUCAAAGUCUACCAUAACUGUCACAAGACGUCCAGAGAGAAAUGUUACCUUCUGAUGACCACACUGUCGUCAAGUUUCCAGUGUGGACAGAUACGAGGUAUACAUUU
Eriocheir sinensis (Chinese mitten crab) is the source of this 132-nucleotide non-coding RNA. RefSeq annotates it as small Cajal body-specific RNA 8. The transcript has a single exon. The record is from RefSeq and is a predicted model, not a curated record. NCBI's taxonomy places the organism in Eukaryota, Metazoa, Arthropoda, Malacostraca, Decapoda, Varunidae.